Cordylochernes scorpioides is the source of this 72-nucleotide non-coding RNA. Lineage: Eukaryota; Metazoa; Arthropoda; Arachnida; Pseudoscorpiones; Chernetidae. The record is from the annotation of a GenBank genome assembly.
AUCCCACACCAGGAAUUGAACUUGGGCCUCCUGGGUGAGAGCCAGUUAACCUAACCACUAGACAACGUGGGA